UACGUAGGGUGCAAGCGUUAAUCGGAAUUACUGGGCGUAAAGCGUGCGCAGGCGGCUUUGCAAGACAGAUGUGAAAUCCCCGGGCUUAACCUGGGAACUGCAUUUGUGACUGCAUGGCUGGAGUGCGGCAGAGGGGGAUGGAAUUCCGCGUGUAGCAGUGAAAUGCGUAGAUAUGCGGAGGAACACCGAUGGCGAAGGGAAUCCCCUGGGCCUGCACUGACGCUCAUGCACGAAAGCGUGGGGAGCAAACAGG
RNAcentral lists this ribosomal RNA (253 nucleotides) under uncultured bacterium. RNAcentral's name for it is "partial 16S ribosomal RNA". It matches the Rfam family "Bacterial small subunit ribosomal RNA", at positions 524 to 776 of the family's 1533-position model. The record is from RNAcentral.